Molecule: long non-coding RNA, 138 nt
Organism: Gopherus evgoodei (Goodes thornscrub tortoise)
Lineage: Eukaryota; Metazoa; Chordata; Testudines; Testudinidae
Exons: 3
Source: RefSeq, a predicted model, not a curated record
GGAGAGCAAGAGAGAGGGGGAGUAAAUUGAUGACAUAUACCCUGAACCACCGGGGACAAUGCUUUUGACCCUUCAGGUACUUGGAGCUCAGCCAAGAAUGAAAAUGCUUUUCAGAGACUGCGGGGACUUGUGGGAUAG